This 447-nucleotide ribosomal RNA is filed under the name uncultured bacterium. RNAcentral's name for it is "bacterial SSU rRNA". It matches the Rfam family "Bacterial small subunit ribosomal RNA", at positions 8 to 459 of the family's 1533-position model. The record is from RNAcentral.
AGAGUUUGAUCCUGGCUCAGAUUGAACGCUGGCGGCAUGCCUUACACAUGCAAGUCGAACGGCAGCGCGGGGCAACCUGGCGGCGAGUGGCGAACGGGUGAGUAAUAUAUCGGAACGUACCCUGGAGUGGGGGAUAACGUAGCGAAAGUUACGCUAAUACCGCAUACGAUCUAAGGAUGAAAGUGGGGGAUCGCAAGACCUCAUGCUCCUGGAGCGGCCGAUAUCUGAUUAGCUAGUUGGCGGGGUAAAAGCCCACCAAGGCAACGAUCAGUAGCUGGUCUGAGAGGACGACCAGCCACACUGGAACUGAGACACGGUCCAGACUCCUACGGGAGGCAGCAGUGGGGAAUUUUGGACAAUGGGCGCAAGCCUGAUCCAGCAAUGCCGCGUGAGUGAAGAAGGCCUUCGGGUUGUAAAGCUCUUUUGUCAGGGAAGAAACGGUGGGGG